This 85-nucleotide transfer RNA is filed under the name Saprospiraceae bacterium. Its description in RNAcentral is "tRNA-Asn". It matches the Rfam family "tRNA". From Rfam's summary of the family: Transfer RNA (tRNA) molecules are approximately 80 nucleotides in length. Lineage: Bacteria; Pseudomonadati; Bacteroidota; Saprospiria; Saprospirales; Saprospiraceae. The record is from RNAcentral.
UCCUGGGUGCGCAGAGUGGCAAUGCAACUGGCUGUUAACCAGUCGUCGAAAGACAUCGUUGGUUCGAUCCCAACCUCAGGAGCCA